Molecule: ribosomal RNA, 273 nt
Filed under: uncultured bacterium
Lineage: Bacteria
Description: partial 16S ribosomal RNA
Rfam family: Bacterial small subunit ribosomal RNA
Source: RNAcentral
UACGGAGGGAGCUAGCGUUGUUCGGAAUUACUGGGCGUAAAGCGCACGUAGGCGGCUAUCUAAGUCAGGGGUGAAAGCCCGGGGCUCAACCCCGGAAUUGCCUUUGAGACUGGAUAGCUAGAAUCUUGGAGAGGCGGGUGGAAUUCCGAGUGUAGAGGUGAAAUUCGUAGAUAUUCGGAAGAACACCAGUGGCGAAGGCGGCCCGCUGGACAAGUAUUGACGCUGAGGUGCGAAAGCGUGGGGAGCAAACAGGAUUAGAAACCCCCGUAGUCC